Meriones unguiculatus (Mongolian gerbil) is the source of this 2043-nucleotide long non-coding RNA. RefSeq lists it as uncharacterized. The transcript is spliced from 4 exons. NCBI's taxonomy places the organism in Eukaryota, Metazoa, Chordata, Mammalia, Rodentia, Muridae. The record is from RefSeq and is a predicted model, not a curated record.
AAGGACAGUGGCAGAAGGAGAGGAAACAGCAAAUCUCCAGCUAAAGGGCAAAAGGAGAUAUCGACCAUAUUUUCAAAAGUCAAGUCUGCCCAACUGCCAAGUUAAGGCCCUGUGUACCAAGAGAGAAGUUAUUCUAUGAAACAUACACGUGUCACCUGAGACUCUCUUUCUGGAAAUGCUAUCUUCUAUGACAUGAGCAUCUGCGACAUGGAUUUGCCAUUUCUCCAAGGAACUUGGGCUCCUUUCAGGAGGGAACAGAUUUCAUCUUGAAAUCUGUUUCUGAGGGGGAGGCAUGGUGGCUUUGAUCUCUGCUGCUGCUGCUGCUGCUGCUGCUGCUGCUGCUGAUGAUGAUGAUGAUGAUGAUGAUGAUGAUGAUGAUGAUAAUCAGUGUCUGGGGAGCAGCUGAAACUGCAGGACACCAACAGCCUAGAAACACCAAGAUAAGACCGUGAACCCUGCAGCCAUAAUCACACGUCCGUGUCAUUGGCCACAACAGAAUGACAGAGCCAGCUUUCAAUCAAGUAGGACAGCAUAUAUAAAACAAUGCUUUACUGGUAUCCACACCCAGAAGAUGGUCCUGGACCUGGGCCCUAUGAGGUGGGACUGCGUGAGGCCAACUGAAGGCGGAGUUUUUGUGCCCAUGGGACUCGAUGCUGGGGUUGUCUGCAUUGUUCUAACGCAGUGGUACAAAGGCGGCAGCUGUCGGAGUUCCAGAGAGAGCCCUGGUUAAAGACAGAGGACACUGCAGGAGGAAGCUAAGACACGUGCCAGUGGGUGGCACCCAGGGCAGCUGAGCUUGCACUCUUGCGUUCUCCCUAGACUACCCUCUUACUCUCUCCCUCACUUAUGGUCCGGCUCCCAAGUCCGAAGCAGAUUUAUGGGCACAUCAGAAAACACAGAUCACCAAACAGUAACUUAAAAAGACGGAGCGUUCAUGUAGUGAGAGGACACGCCUGCAGUGGCCACCUUCAUGUACCCAACAGUUCCUAACCAAGGGGACAAGAGAACAUCUCUUCUGCCCAGAGACUGGGUUAGUGAGGGUGUCUGAUCCACCCUGACCUCUCCAGAUUGUCUAGAUGGCAAGACCAAAACAACUUGCCAGUUUGCAAAAGGGCCACGUUGGACUGGCUCCCAUUUGGAUCCCAGGCUAGUGAUAGUUAAUUUGUGGCAGCCAUGAUCUCAGGCUCCCCAGACUUCUAAGUCUACCAGGGGCUCUCUGUUGAAGGCUCCCUCGGCAGCUAAGUCUUAGGGCUUUUCCUGAACCCUUGGCCCUGAGUCUGGGGUCUCCCAAGGGUCUCACUGGGACCUCCAGAAUGUUACAGAGUUUGAGACAGAUCACCAGGGAAAGAUCCCCAAACAAAACAAAAUUUAAGUUUAAAAGACAAAAAAAAAAACAACAAGUUUAUUUUCCUAAUAGCAAUAUUGGGACAGCCUCUUUGCCAUAUGACAGCUGCUGCAAAAGGAAAAGACUGUGGAGGGAGUUUUUAAAGGAACAAACUACAGAUGUCUGAACGCUGGGGACUUUUGUUUGUUUGUUUUUCGAGACAGGUUUUCUCUGUGUGGCCUUGGCUGUCCUGAACUCACUUUGUAGACCAGGCUGGCCUUGAACUCACAGAGAUAAACCUGCCUCUGCCCUCUGAGUGCUGGGAUUAAAGGCGUGGGCCUCUGGGUACUUUUGUUACCUGAGGCAUUAUCUUAUUUUUUUUUCUUCUGAGCAAGCAGUGGUAGAGUCUGAUAGUUAACAUUACAUUUAAGGUUUUAAUAACUAUUAUAUAUGUGUGUGUGUGUGUAUUCCAAAAUGCCUCUAGCAUGUCAACCCCUAGCUUGUACAGACUAUACCCCGUUAGCUUGCUUCCUGUUUCCUAGAUAUUAAAGACUAUUCUUAAAUUGACUGAUCUUGUCAAAUUUCUGCAAGAUAGUAGGCCAUAAGACUAAUUACUAUUUAUGUUUUUGUAAUCAAGCUUUCUCCGUUCAAAAAGACAAUUACAAGGCCCAUACUUUUAACUUUAUGGUUUUUUGUUUUUGUUUUUGUUUUCUUUAUAA